AUAGAAGCGCAGUAUUGUACUAUCGGCGUCAUAAAGCAGACUGUAUAUUGCUUCACCUACACGCUGCAGUCUCCUUUUAUGAGCUAUCGUCAUGAAAAAAAUCACUACGAUAUUGGUGGUGUCUGUUUUAGCAGUACUCAGUUCUUCAUCUGAGAAUUCAUUUGUCACUCAGCAAUGGAAUGGGAAUCCGGCAAUGAGAAACAGAGCGUUUUAUUACUUCCACCCAACUCAUCUACCGGGGACGCAGUUUUAUCCAAAAAUCCCACUGGUCAACUACUAUCCGUACUUUCCCAUUGCUGAGCCAAAUAAAUUGAUGCUGAAUGAAGACAACCAAAGGAGUGAUAUCGCCAACUCUAGACCUACCACUCCACCGCCCCCUCUGUUAAUUGAUCAAAAUCUUAGCGACGAAGAAGCAAUGACGCAGCUGGAGAUUUUGAAGGAAAUCUACACACGAAACAACGAGAACGGAGUCGUCUUACCCAGUAUUCUUCCGUCGUCUCGAGGAUUCAUUGCGCUAAAAACAACCGCUUUUAUCAGUUUCUUAAACAGUUUUUCCUUAGCUGCAGCAACCAAGACCAAAACCAAAAUUUUUGUUUAUCCAACUUUUGGUUGAACCAUAUUUGUUUCUUCUUUUUUUAACAUAAGUCUGAUGCUUUAACGUGGUUAAUAUGGUGUAUGGGUGUCUUUCGUGCAAAAGCUUAUAUCGUAUCAUGCUCGAUGAAUGAUGAUGAAUAUAUUGGGUCCGAUUGAA
This is a long non-coding RNA of Daphnia pulicaria, 751 nucleotides long. RefSeq lists it as uncharacterized. NCBI's taxonomy places the organism in Eukaryota, Metazoa, Arthropoda, Branchiopoda, Diplostraca, Daphniidae. The transcript is spliced from 2 exons. The record is from RefSeq and is a predicted model, not a curated record.